RNAcentral lists this ribosomal RNA (560 nucleotides) under uncultured bacterium. RNAcentral's name for it is "bacterial SSU rRNA". It matches the Rfam family "Bacterial small subunit ribosomal RNA", at positions 163 to 719 of the family's 1533-position model. The record is from RNAcentral.
CUAAUACCGCAUACGAUCUACGGAUGAAAGCGGGGGACCUUAGGGCCUCGCGCUAUUAGAGCGGCCGAUAGCUGAUUAGCUAGUUGGUGGGGUAAAGGCCUACCAAGGCGAUGAUCAGUAGCUGGUCUGAGAGGACGAUCAGCCACACUGGGACUGAGAACGGCCCAGACUCCUACGGGAGGCAGCAGUGGGGAAUUUUGGACAAUGGGGGCAACCCUGAUCCAGCAAUGCCGCGUGAGUGAAGAAGGCCUUCGGGUUGUAAAGCUCUUUUGUUAGGGAAGAAAAGGCGAAGGUUAAUACCCUUUGCUGCUGACGGUACCUAAAGAAUAAGCACCGGCUAACUACGUGCCAGCAGCCGCGGUAAUACGUAGGGUGCAAGCGUUAAUCGGAAUUACUGGGCGUAAAGCGUACGCAGGCGGUUAUGUAAGACAGAUGUGAAAUGCCCGGGCUCAACCUGGGAAUGGCAUUUGUGACUGCAUAGCUAGAGUGUGUCAGAGGGGGGUAGAAUUCCACGUGUAGCAGUGAAAUGCGUAGAUAUGUGGAGGAAUACCGAUGGCGAA